RNAcentral lists this ribosomal RNA (398 nucleotides) under uncultured bacterium. RNAcentral's name for it is "partial 16S ribosomal RNA". It matches the Rfam family "Bacterial small subunit ribosomal RNA", at positions 523 to 918 of the family's 1533-position model. The record is from RNAcentral.
AUACGUAGGGUGCGAGCGUUGUCCGGAAUUACUGGGCGUAAAGAGCUCGUAGGUGGUUUGUCGCGUCGUCUGUGAAAUUCCGGGGCUUAACUCCGGGCGUGCAGGCGAUACGGGCAUAACUUGAGUACUGUAGGGGAGACUGGAAUUCCUGGUGUAGCGGUGAAAUGCGCAGAUAUCAGGAGGAACACCGGUGGCGAAGGCGGGUCUCUGGGCAGUAACUGACGCGGAGGAGCGAAAGCAUGGGUAGCGAACAGGAUUAGAUCCCCUGGUAGUCCAUGCCGUAAACGGUGGGCGCUAGGUGUAGGGGUCUUCCACGACUUCUGUGCCGUAGCUAACGCAUUAAGCGCCCCGCCUGGGGAGUACGGCCGCAAGGCUAAAACUCAAAUGAAUUGACGGGG